AAGUAUACUUGCUGACGUCUGGCAUUCAUCGUUUACGGUGUGGACUACCAGGGUAUCUAAUCCUAUUUGCUCCCCACACUUUCGCACCUCAGCGUCAGUAUCGAGCCAGUAAGCCGCCUUCGCCACUGGUGUUCCUCCAAAUAUCUACGAAUUUCACCUCUACACUUGGAAUUCCACUUACCUCUCUCGAACUCAAGACUAGCAGUAUUAAAGGCAGUUCCAGGGUUGAGCCCUGGGAUUUCACCUCUAACUUACUAAUCCGCCUACGUGCGCUUUACGCCCAGUAAUUCCGAACAACGCUAACCCCCUCCGUAUUACCGCGGCUGCUGGCACGGAGUUAGCCGGGGUUUCUUUACCAGAUACUGUCAUUAUCAUCUCUGGCGAAAGUGCUUUACGACCCUAAGGCCUUCAUCACACACGCGGCAUGGCUAGAUCAGGGUUUCCCCCAUUGUCUAAGAUUCCCUACUGCUGCCUCCCGUAGGAGUCUGGGCCGUGUCUCAGUCCCAGUGUGGCUGAUCAUCCUCUCAAACCAGCUAUAGAUCGUAGGCUUGGUAGGCCAUUACCCCACCAACUACCUAAUCUAACGCGGGCUAAUCCUUCUCCGAUAAAUCUUUCCCCCGAAGGGCGUAUAAGGUAUUACUCUCCGUUUCCAGAGGCUAUUCCUUAGAGAAGGGCAUAUUCCCACGCGUUACUCACCCGUCCGCCGCUCAUCCCGAGGGAUGCGCUCGACUUGCAUGUAUUAGGCCUGCCGCCAGCGUUCGUUCUGAGCCAGGAUCAAACUCU
RNAcentral lists this ribosomal RNA (783 nucleotides) under uncultured bacterium. Its description in RNAcentral is "partial 16S ribosomal RNA". The record is from RNAcentral.